AAGGACAAAAUUAAGGGUGGAUGGUGGAUGCCUUGACACCAAAUGGCGAUGAAGGACGCGGCGUAGCUGCGAUAAGCCCCGGGGAGGUGCGUAGCAACCUUUGAUCCGAGGAUUUCCGAAUGGGGAAACCCUCCGCCACAAACUGGCGGAAUCCGCCCAAAUUUUUGGAAUUUUUGAAACUUGCAAAUAAAAAGAGGGAGAUAAGUUUUUCUUACCUCCCAAAAUAAGGGAAAACGCGCGACCGGAUUUGAACCGGCAACCUAUGUUGCAAACCCGUCGAUCGGGGGGAUGAACGGGCACCACAACAUCGCUCUAACAUUGAGCUACGCGCGCUUAUAAAAUAGCGGGGAGAGGCCGAAUCUGCAUCGGCGGCUUGAGUGGAGAACGGGGGUUGGGUUGUUCCCACUUCGUGACUCUCCCCAAAAAAAGGACCAAAAGCAGAUUAAUAAAAGAAAGACGCAAUGUCAAAUCCAAAAAUUUGGGCGGAAGCAAACCCGCUGAAUUGAAACAUCUUAGUAAGCGGAGAAAAAGAGAACAACAGUUAUUCCCCAAGUAGCGGCGAGCGAAAAGGGAGGAGCCCAAACCCGAUCCCGCAAGGGACUCGGGGGUUGCAAGGUAAGAGAGCUCACUAUCACGCUGACUAUGACGAUAACUUUUAGUCAUUGUUAUGGUCAGUGUUAUAGUGAAAUUGGUUACAAAUUGUUUGGUUAGUCAAAUCUCGCUGGAAAGCGGAGCCAAAGAGAGUGAUAGCCUCGUAGACGAAAACCAAGCAACCAAUUUCUUUUAUUCUUAAGUACCUCGAGGCAACUAAACUUCGAGGGAAUCUGGGAGUACUAUCUCCUAAGGCUAAAUACAUUUGGUGAUCGAUAGUGAACAAGUACCGUGAGGGAAAGGUGAAAAGUAGCCCGGUUAGGGCGGUGAAAUAGUACCUGAAACCAUCCACUUACAAGGAACCGGAGCCUUAUGGCUCCGCCGCAAGGCGGAGUCCGGGUGACGGUGUGCCUAUUGAAGAAUGAGCCAACGAGUUUAUGUAUACGGCGCGCAUAAAUCCUUAAACGGAUGUAUGCAUAGGGAAACCGAGUCUUAAUAGGGCGCCUCCGGCUUUAGGUCGGAGAAGUCGUAUGCGUAAGACCCGAAACCAAACGAGCUUGCCCUGGCCAGGGUGAAGGUUGCAGAAAUGCAGCUGGAGGCCCGCACCGGUGAGUUGUGCAACACUCUCGGAUGAGCUGGGGUAAGGAGUGAAAAGCUAAUCGAGUUUGGUAAUAGCUGGUUCUCUCCGAAAUAGUUUUAGGACUAGCCUCGCGUGUUUCUUUUUGGAGGUAGAGCACUGGAUGGUCGCGACAGGGAGAAAUCUCGCGCGACCAAUCAAACUCCGAAUGCCGAAAAGUUAAAAGCGCGGGAGUCAGACUACGGGGGCUAAGCUCCGUGGUCGCGAGGGGAAGAGCCCAGAUCGCCGUCUAAGGUCCCCAAAUUCAAGCUAAG
This 1482-nucleotide ribosomal RNA is filed under the name Candidatus Liptonbacteria bacterium. RNAcentral's name for it is "partial 23S ribosomal RNA". It matches the Rfam family "Bacterial large subunit ribosomal RNA", at positions 1 to 1063 of the family's 2925-position model. Lineage: Bacteria; Candidatus Liptoniibacteriota. The record is from RNAcentral.